ACGCCUAAUACAUGCAAGUCGAACGAAGUAGCAAUACUUAGUGGCAGACGGGUGAGUAACAUGUGGGUAUCUUCCCUUUGGUGAGGAAUAACACGAGGAAACUUGUGCUAAUACCUCAUAAGUCUUUACGGAGAAAGCUUUAUGCGCCAUUGGAUGAGCCUGCACUUGAUUAGUUUGUUGGUGGGGUAAUGGCCUACCAAGACUUUGAUCAAUAGCUGAUUUGAGAGGAUGAUCAGCCACAUUGGGACUGAGACACGGCCCAAACUCCUACGGGAGGCAGCAGUAGGGAAUCUUGCACAAUGGAGGAAACUCUGAUGCAGCGAUGCCGCGUGAGUGAAGAAGGCCCUUGGGUUGUAAAGCUCUUUCGUCGGGGAAGAAAAUGACUGUACCCGAAUAAGAAGGUCCGGCUAACUUCGUGCCAGCAGCCGCGGUAAUACGAAGGGACCUAGCGUAGUUCGGAAUUACUGGGCUUAAAGAGUUCGUAGGUGGUUAAAAAAGUUGGUGGUGAAAUCCCAGAGCUUAACUCUGGAACUGCCAUCAAAACUUUUUAGCUAGAGUAUGAUAGAGGAAAGCAGAAUUUCUAGUGUAGAGGUGAAAUUCGUAGAUAUUAGAAAGAAUACCGAUUGCGAAGGCAGCUUUCUGGAUCAUUACUGACACUGAGGAACGAAAGCAUGGGUAGCGAAGAGGAUUAGAUACCCUCGUAGUCCAUGCCGUAAACGAUGUGUGUUAGACGUUGGGAAUUUAUUUUCAGUGUCGCAGCGAAAGCAAUAAACACACCGCCUGGGGAGUACGACCG
This 796-nucleotide ribosomal RNA is filed under the name uncultured Pelagibacteraceae bacterium. RNAcentral's name for it is "bacterial SSU rRNA". It matches the Rfam family "Bacterial small subunit ribosomal RNA", at positions 44 to 888 of the family's 1533-position model. Lineage: Bacteria; Pseudomonadati; Pseudomonadota; Alphaproteobacteria; Candidatus Pelagibacterales; Candidatus Pelagibacteraceae. The record is from RNAcentral.